CUCAUGCGUUCAUAACUUUAUCGAUCCGGUUGAUUCUCAGUGAUCCAGUCAGUAAAGUUUGACCUUUAGUUUGUUUUUUUUUGUUUUGUUUUUUGUUUUUUUUGGUAAUUAAUUGUUUUUUGUUUUUGUAUUAACACUCAGCUUAGGUUUUUGGACAGUGGUGGUUUUAGAGCAUUUUACCUCUGAAUAAUCCUAAUCCCCUGUAUUAGCCACCUUUUUAUUCCAACAGUGAAUACCAAAGGCAAGCUGUAUCAUAAAGAAAAGAAGUUUAUGAAGCUCAUAGUUGUGGACACUGGAAGUGCAAGCUGUAUGAUGUAGGCUCUGCUGAACCACAGCAGCACAGUGGGGAGAAAAAGCUUUCCCACAAAAAAAAGAGUCGUAUGAAGAAAAUGGAGCAGUGUGGACUGGUGAUGAAGAGCAGAGCUGCCUGGAGCUAGGCUGCUCUGUCAGCCCCGCUGCCCCAGGCUCUGAGCAGCACCAGAUGGUGAGGUCAUGUGGGUGCCCCUGCAGCACCAUCCCAGUGUCCUGCCCACCCCCAGCCUCCCGGUGGUGUUGGUAUUGGGAUCCACACCACAGAGGCAUGGGAGGUCAUACACGCAGAGGUGAAC
Molecule: long non-coding RNA, 608 nt
Filed under: Fukomys damarensis (Damara mole-rat)
Lineage: Eukaryota; Metazoa; Chordata; Mammalia; Rodentia; Bathyergidae
Description: lncRNA (ENSFDAG00000029393.1)
Source: RNAcentral